AACCCACGAAGAAAUAGACAUGGCGUGAUAUUGCUUCGGCUUAUCAAAUUUAAGGUCUAUAUGCGUUCUAGUAAAACUGAUGAGCCGAACCAAUAUCACUCUUGUAUGUUCCUUUGAAAAAUGUGAAGGUUUCUUGAAUAGAGAAGCAACUAGCGUUCACAAAUCUCUUACCGAGUGCACAACAUAAUUCUUUUUUAUUGAUCGUGAUUUUUCAAACUAAUUUUGAAGGGAGGUCCACUCUGCGGCCGGCGGAUGUUCUUGUUUUUGGUUGGACAGGAGGGAAACACGCUUAUGUGGACCUCACAGAAGUAUCCCCUCUUGUUGGGCUCAUGGAAAAUCGUUUCGUGGCUGGUCAGGCUAUGUUGAAGGCAAAAUCAGGGAAAGUUGUUAAGCAUGAAAAAGUUUGUGCUGAUAAUCAAUAUGUAUCCAUUCUCUUUGCUUUUGAUACUGUUGGUUCCCUUGCUCCUGAAGCUGUUGGUUUUCUGGACAGAGUACAGAGGGUCGUGCACAACCAUUUCUCAACGGCAAGGAACCAGAGUUUUGUUUUCGGUAGAAUUGGAUUUGCUACUCAAAAGGGGGGUUGCAGUGCAGCUUGUUGCCCGUUUACAUGUCAUUCUCAUCAGGAUGGUCUCGACGAUUCAUUACGUUGUUCCAUGUCAUGACGAGCUUGAAGUUUGGCUGCAAUCAUCCCAUAGCACUUAGAUGGGCUCAUGAGGGUGUACCCUUAAAAGAACAACCUUUAAUGGUCAAGUUAGUAUCGAUAGAAGAAGUAUGUAGGACAACUGUGAGAUGUCGACCUAGUAGAGAGAGAAAUGCCGCGCAAUUCCUUUUUUCUUAAUUGGUGUGCCCUCCCGUAAAUAGGGAGGGGUUAUGUAUAAGCUUGGCGAGGCUAUAUGUAUGGGUCAAGAACGUUAGUCUAACGGCGAACCAUGGCCAAGAGCCCAUUGAGAUAUCAUAAAGAAAACCCAUCUCUUAUUUACCUCAAUAGAUAUCAUAACUUGCACAUGUGCAUUUA
This is a long non-coding RNA of Helianthus annuus (common sunflower), 1015 nucleotides long. RefSeq lists it as uncharacterized. NCBI's taxonomy places the organism in Eukaryota, Viridiplantae, Streptophyta, Magnoliopsida, Asterales, Asteraceae. The record is from RefSeq and is a predicted model, not a curated record. The transcript has 2 exons.